UACGUAGGUGGCAAGCGUUAUCCGGAAUUAUUGGGCGUAAAGAGCGCGCAGGUGGUUGAUUAAGUCUGAUGUGAAAGCCCACGGCUUAACCGUGGAGGGUCAUUGGAAACUGGUCGACUUGAGUGCAGAAGAGGGAAGUGGAAUUCCAUGUGUAGCGGUGAAAUGCGUAGAGAUAUGGAGGAACACCAGUGGCGAAGGCGGCUUCCUGGUCUGUAACUGACACUGAGGCGCGAAAGCGUGUGGAGCAAGCAGGAUUA
This 257-nucleotide ribosomal RNA is filed under the name uncultured prokaryote. RNAcentral's name for it is "partial 16S ribosomal RNA". It matches the Rfam family "Bacterial small subunit ribosomal RNA", at positions 524 to 780 of the family's 1533-position model. The record is from RNAcentral.